CCCCCCCCCUAAAUCAAAUGGUAGCUCCCUAACAUGGGAUAGUGGUGUGAAAAGGCUUAACUCAUCUGACAUCAGAUCUGUACAAAGCAGAUUUAACCACUUUGAUUUAUCACUUCAUACAAGUCAUAUGGAUUUAAUAAACAUAAGAUGGAUUAGAAAAUUCAAAUAAUUUAAUACUUUUUGCAUAGUUAAUUUUUUUUCAGGGCAAGUCUAGAUCUGUUGUUCAGACUUCUUGUUUUAAAAGAUCAAAAUAAGCCAAUUUUGUCAUAUAAAAAAUUUUAAGGCAAUAAAUUUGGCAGAUAUAUAAAUAUUGUAACUUCAUUUUAUUAUACAUUUGUACAUGUCAUACUUUAUUUCUUUUAGCAUUUUCAAUGAAAGUACAUUUUGUACUCCAAGAAGUAGAAGAAUCUAAGCAACAGAACAGAAUUCAUUUGAUGCAUUGCUUUCUAGAUUAUAUAAUGGAUUCAUAGAUUGUCAUAUUGAUUUAUAUGCAUAUAAGGAGCAGCAGGCAAUAAUUAUUUUGUGAUGAGAGCUUGUUACCAUGGUUACCAAAUGAAAGGAAAGUACAGUAUUAUAAUCACUGGUGUACAUGUAGGUGCGGAUGUCAGGCAAAAAGAACUGGUAUCAAAGAACUGAAAAGUAAAGAAACAGAACCAAAGAACAUUCAUUUUUAAUUAAUACAAUAUUGAGCUCAAAGUCAAUCUAGUUGUCUUUCUUAAUCAUACAGGAUAUUUACAAAAAGCAGCUGCAUACACAUGCACCAGUAAUAUACAGCAGUGAAGACAAUUAAAUAUCUGUGUAUGGAGGUAUAGCAAUAGAAAUAUCACAUACAUCAUAGGAAAAUAGAAUACAGACAAUAGAAAUGGAGUAUGUCAAAGAGACAAAAAUAUGAAAAUAGAAUAUAGACAAUAGAAAUGGAGUAUGUCAAAGAGACACACAUAUGAAAAUAGAAUAUAGACAAUAAAAUUGGGGUAUGUCAAAGAGACAAACAUGAAAAUAGAAUAUAGACAAAAGAA
Long non-coding RNA from Mytilus californianus (California mussel), 1016 nucleotides. RefSeq lists it as uncharacterized. The record is from RefSeq and is a predicted model, not a curated record. Lineage: Eukaryota; Metazoa; Mollusca; Bivalvia; Mytilida; Mytilidae. The transcript has 3 exons.